Molecule: ribosomal RNA, 255 nt
Filed under: uncultured bacterium
Lineage: Bacteria
Description: partial 16S ribosomal RNA
Rfam family: Bacterial small subunit ribosomal RNA
Source: RNAcentral
UACAGAGGUCUCAAGCGUUGUUCGGAUUCAUUGGGCGUAAAGGGUGCGUAGGUGGCGCCGUAAGUCAGGUGUGAAAUUUCGGAGCUUAACUCCGAAACUGCAUUUGAUACUGCGGUGCUUGAGGACUGGAGAGGAGACUGGAAUUCACGGUGUAGCAGUGAAAUGCGUAGAUAUCGUGAGGAAGACCAGUGGCGAAGGCGGGUCUCCGGACAGUUCCUGACACUGAGGCACGAAGGCCAGGGGAGCAAACCGGGG